Molecule: ribosomal RNA, 424 nt
Filed under: uncultured bacterium
Lineage: Bacteria
Description: bacterial SSU rRNA
Rfam family: Bacterial small subunit ribosomal RNA
Source: RNAcentral
GAAUUUUGGACAAUGGGCGCAAGCCUGAUCCAGCCAUUCCGCGUGCAGGAUGAAGGCCCUCGGGUUGUAAACUGCUUUUGUGCGGAACGAAAAGGCUCUGGUUAAUACCCGGGGCUCAUGACGGUACCGUAAGAAUAAGCACCGGCUAACUACGUGCCAGCAGCCGCGGUAAUACGUAGGGUGCAAGCGUUAAUCGGAAUUACUGGGCGUAAAGCGUGCGCAGGCGGUGAUGUAAGACAGGUGUGAAAUCCCCGGGCUUAACCUGGGAACUGCAUUUGUGACUGCAUUGCUGGAGUGCGGCAGAGGGGGAUGGAAUUCCGCGUGUAGCAGUGAAAUGCGUAGAUAUGCGGAGGAACACCGAUGGCGAAGGCAAUCCCCUGGGCCUGCACUGACGCUCAUGCACGAAAGCGUGGGGAGCAAACAG